Molecule: ribosomal RNA, 859 nt
Filed under: uncultured bacterium
Lineage: Bacteria
Description: SSU rRNA
Rfam family: Bacterial small subunit ribosomal RNA
Source: RNAcentral
UACGGAGGGUGCAAGCGUUACUCGGAAUCACUGGGCGUAAAGGACGCGUAGGCUGUUUAGCAAGUCAGAUGUGAAAUCCAAUGGCUCAACCAUUGAACUGCAUUUGAAACUGCUAGACUAGAGUAUGGGAGGGGGAGAUGGAAUUAGUGGUGUAGGGGUAAAAUCCGUAGAUAUCACUAGGAAUACCUAAAGCGAAGGCGAUCUCCUGGAACAUUACUGACGCUAAGGCGUGAAAGCGUGGGGAGCAAACAGGAUUAGAUACCCUGGUAGUCCACGCCCUAAACGAUGAACACUAGUCGUCGCGAUGCUUGUCAUUGCGGUGAUGCACUUAACAGAUUAAGUGUUCCGCCUGGGGAGUACGGUCGCAAGAUUAAAACUCAAAGGAAUAGACGGGGACCCGCACAAGUGGUGGAGCAUGUGGUUUAAUUCGAAGAUACGCGAAAAACCUUACCUGGCCUUGACAUUGAUAGAAUCCUGUAGAGAUACGGGAGUGCCCUUCGGGGAGCUUGAAAACAGGUGCUGCACGGCUGUCGUCAGCUCGUGUCGUGAGAUGUUGGGAUAAGUCCCGCAACGAGCGCAACCCUCGUCCUUAGUUGCCAGCAGUUCGGCUGGGCACUCUAAGGAGACUGCCUUCGCAAGGAGGAGGAAGGUGAGGACGACGUCAAGUCAUCAUGGCCCUUACGGCCAGGGCUACACACGUGCUACAAUGGGGCGUACAGAGUGUUGCAAUACCGCGAGGUGGAGCCAAUCACUUAAAGCGUCUCUCAGUUCGGAUUGUUCUCUGCAACUCGAGAGCAUGAAGCUGGAAUCACUAGUAAUCGUAGAUCAGCAUUGCUACGGUGAAUACGUUCCCGGGUCU